GGCUACGAGGACGAACGCUGGCGGCGUGCUUAAUACAUGCAAGUCAACGACUUUUAGAGUAGCAAUAUUCUAAAGGAAGUGGCGCACGGGUGAGUAACACGUAGGUAAUCUGCCUUCAGGACUGACACAACUCGUCGAAAGACGGGCUAAUAUCAGAUAAUGCAGCGGCUCCGCAUGGAGACAGUUGUUAAAGUACAAGCGCCUGAAGAUGAGCCUGCGGUCCAUUAGCUAGUUGGUAGAGUAAAAGCCUACCAAGGCAACGAUGGAUAGCUGGUCUGAGAGGAUGAUCAGCCACACUGGAACUGAGACACGGCCCAGACUCCUACGGGAGGCAGCAGUAAGGAAUAUUGCUCAAUGGCCGAAAGGCUGAAGCAACAACGCCGCGUGAAGGAUGAAUGGCCUUUGGCCUGUAAACUUCUGUAAAAAGGGAAAAACAGUCAGGUAUAUCCUGAUUUGAUUGUACCUUUGAAGUAAGCCCCGGCUAACUACGUG
This 492-nucleotide ribosomal RNA is filed under the name uncultured bacterium. Its description in RNAcentral is "bacterial SSU rRNA". It matches the Rfam family "Bacterial small subunit ribosomal RNA", at positions 26 to 507 of the family's 1533-position model. The record is from RNAcentral.